RNAcentral lists this ribosomal RNA (505 nucleotides) under uncultured bacterium. Its description in RNAcentral is "bacterial SSU rRNA". It matches the Rfam family "Bacterial small subunit ribosomal RNA", at positions 791 to 1300 of the family's 1533-position model. The record is from RNAcentral.
UAGUCCACGCCGUAAACGAUCAUCACUCGCUGUUGGCGAUAUACUGUCAGCGGCCAAGCGAAAGUAUUAAGUGAUGCACCUGGGGAGUACGCCGGCAACGGUGAAACUCAAAGGAAUUGACGGGGGCCCGCACAAGCGGUGGAGCAUGUGGUUUAAUUCGAUGAUACGCGAGGAACCUUACCAGGGCUUAAAUGUAGUAUGACCGGUCUGGAAACAGGCCUUCCCUUCGGGGCAGAUUACAAGGUGCUGCAUGGUUGUCGUCAGCUCGUGCCGUGAGGUGUUGGGUUAAGUCCUGCAACGAGCGCAACCCCUAUUCUUAGUUGCCAGCGGUUCGGCCGGGGACUCUAAGAAGACUGCCAGCGCAAGCUGAGAGGAAGGUGGGGAUGACGUCAAAUCAGCAUGCCCCUUACGCUCUGGGCUACACACGUGCUACAAUGGUUAGGACAAAGAGAUGCGACCUCGCGAGAGCAAGCCAACCUCAAAAACCUAAUCUUAGUUCGGAUUG